Molecule: ribosomal RNA, 513 nt
Filed under: uncultured bacterium
Lineage: Bacteria
Description: partial 16S ribosomal RNA
Rfam family: Bacterial small subunit ribosomal RNA
Source: RNAcentral
GAUGAACGCUGGCGGCGUGCCUAAUACAUGCAAGUCGAACGCGCAGCGAAAGGUGCUUGCACCUUUCAAGCGAGUGGCGAACGGGUGAGUAACACGUGGAUAACCUGCCUCAAGGCUGGGGAUAACAUUUGGAAACAGAUGCUAAUACCGAAUAAAACUUAGUAUCGCAUGAUACAAAGUUAACAGGCGCUACGGCGUCACCUAGAGAUGGAUCCGCGGUGCAUUAGUUAGUUGGUGGGGUAAAGGCUUACCAAGACGAUGAUGCAUAGCCGAGUUGAGAGACUGAUCGGCCACAAUGGGACUGAGACACGGCCCAAACUCCUACGGGAGGCUGCAGUAGGGAAUCUUCCACAAUGGGCGCAAGCCUGAUGGAGCAACGCCGCGUGUGUGAUGAAGGCUUUCGGGUCGUAAAGCACUGUUGUAUGGGAAGAAAUGCUAAAAUAGGGAAUGAUUUUAGUUUGACGGUACCAUACCAGAAAGGGACGGCUAAAUACGUGCCAGCCGCCGCCGUAA